This is a non-coding RNA of Nerophis lumbriciformis (worm pipefish), 693 nucleotides long. The record is from RefSeq and is a predicted model, not a curated record. Lineage: Eukaryota; Metazoa; Chordata; Actinopteri; Syngnathiformes; Syngnathidae.
UGAUGAGUGACUACAGCUUUAUUUACACAUAUAACCUAUACAUCGAAAUUGGGAAGCAAAGGAGAGAGAGGACCACUGAAGGUCUGAGUGGAACCAAAGGAGACAAGCUCACAAACAGUGAGGGAUGAAUGUCAAUCUCCUGGACAGCUUCUCAGCUUUUUGGCCCAGAAGGACCUCAUCCAAACUGUUCCUGAGGCGACAAAGUUACUCCAGCUAGUGCUCACUGUUCCAUCUACUACAGCAUCGGUGGAGCGGUCAUUCUCAGCACUGAAAAGAAUCCAAACAUACAGUCGGAACAGGACCGAUCAAGGACGACUUUCUUCCCUGGCAGUGAUCUCCAUCGAGACAGAGAGACUUUUAAAACUGAAGAAAGAUAAGGAAGACUUCUUUAAACAAGUUAUCGAUGCUUUUGUUCAGAAGGAGCGGCGCAUGGACUUCAUUUAUAAGUAAAGGGCUUCCAAGGAAGAGGUGGACCCAAAGGAGACUUUGGAGACCCUGGUGUGGAGGGGCUGGCUGGUGAGAAAGGUGAAAAGGGUAUGUCUGGAGAAGCUGGCCCUAAAGGACAGAGUGAGGGGAGACCUUGGACAUAACGGUCCAACUGGAGACUCUGGGAAGCCAGGUGAUCUAGGACCCCCUGGACUGCCUUUUCUCGGGGGUUGAACGGCAUGAGAGGAGUGCCUGGCAGGACGGGUA